This 64-nucleotide transfer RNA is filed under the name Potamanthellus edmundsi. Its description in RNAcentral is "tRNA-Met". Lineage: Eukaryota; Metazoa; Arthropoda; Insecta; Ephemeroptera; Neoephemeridae. The record is from RNAcentral.
AGAAAAGUAAGCUAAUUUAAGCUCGUAGGUUCAUACCCUAUUUAUGGGACUAACCCCUUUUCUA